ACGCUGGCGGCGUGCUUAACACAUGCAAGUCGAACGAUGAACCCCAGCUUGCUGGGGGGAUUAGUGGCGAACGGGUGAGUAACACGUGAGUAACCUGCCCUUAACUCUGGGAUAAGCCUGGGAAACUGGGUCUAAUACUGGAUAUUGACUUUACCUCGCAUGGGGUUUGGUUGAAAGAUUUAUUGGUUUUGGAUGGACUCGCGGCCUAUCAGCUUGUUGGUGAGGUAAUGGCUCACCAAGGCGACGACGGGUAGCCGGCCUGAGAGGGUGACCGGCCACACUGGGACUGAGACACGGCCCAGACUCCUACGGGAGGCGGCAGUGGGGAAUAUUGCACAAUGGGCGAAAGCCUGAUGCAGCGACGCCGCGUGAGGGAUGACGGCCUUCGGGUUGUAAACCUCUUUCAGUAGGGAACAAGGCCAAUGUUUAGUUGGUUGAGGGUACUUGCAGAAGAAGCACCGGCUAACUACGUGCCAGCAGCCGCGGUAAUACGUAGGGUGCAAGCGUUAUCCGGAAUUAUUGGGCGUAAAGAGCUCGUAGGCGGUUUGUCGCGUCUGCCGUGAAAGUCCGGGGCUCAACCCCGGAUCUGCGGUGGGUACGGGCAGACUAGAGUGAUGUAGGGGGGACUGGAAUUCCUGGUGUAGCGGUGAAAUGCGCAGAUAUCAGGAGGAACACCGAUGGCGAAGGCAGGUCUCUGGGCAUUAACUGACGCUGAGGAGCGAAAGCAUGGGGAGCGAAC
Molecule: ribosomal RNA, 739 nt
Filed under: uncultured bacterium
Lineage: Bacteria
Description: bacterial SSU rRNA
Rfam family: Bacterial small subunit ribosomal RNA
Source: RNAcentral